RNAcentral lists this antisense RNA (69 nucleotides) under Saccharothrix australiensis. RNAcentral's name for it is "ASpks TB sRNA". It matches the Rfam family "ASpks TB sRNA". The record is from Rfam by way of RNAcentral. Lineage: Bacteria; Bacillati; Actinomycetota; Actinomycetes; Pseudonocardiales; Pseudonocardiaceae.
CUUCACCGAACCCAGCCACAGCGGCUCUGCCCGGUCCUGCCCGUAGGUGGCCAGCACCGCCUGCGCCUC